CAUAGGUUAAUGAGGCGAACCGGGGGAACUGAAACAUCUAAGUACCCCGAGGAAAAGAAAUCAACCGAGAUUCCCCCAGUAGCGGCGAGCGAACGGGGAGCAGCCCAGAGCCUGAAUCAGUGUGUGUGUUAGUGGAAGCGUCUGGAAAGGCGCGCGAUACAGGGUGACAGCCCCGUACACAAAAAUGCACAUGCUGUGAGCUCGAUGAGUAGGGCGGGACACGUGGUAUCCUGUCUGAAUAUGGGGGGACCAUCCUCCAAGGCUAAAUACUCCUGACUGACCGAUAGUGAACCAGUACCGUGAGGGAAAGGCGAAAAGAACCCCGGCGAGGGGAGUGAAAAAGAACCUGAAACCGUGUACGUACAA
Molecule: ribosomal RNA, 366 nt
Filed under: Escherichia coli
Lineage: Bacteria; Pseudomonadati; Pseudomonadota; Gammaproteobacteria; Enterobacterales; Enterobacteriaceae
Description: partial 23S ribosomal RNA
Rfam family: Bacterial large subunit ribosomal RNA
Source: RNAcentral